RNAcentral lists this transfer RNA (73 nucleotides) under Callithrix jacchus (white-tufted-ear marmoset). RNAcentral's name for it is "tRNA-Cys (GCA) (tRNA-Cys-GCA-15-1)". It matches the Rfam family "tRNA". From Rfam's summary of the family: Transfer RNA (tRNA) molecules are approximately 80 nucleotides in length. Lineage: Eukaryota; Metazoa; Chordata; Mammalia; Primates; Cebidae. The record is from RNAcentral.
GGGGGGAUGGCUCAGUGGUAAAGCAUUUGACUGCAGAUCAUAGAGGUUCCCGGUUCGAAUUCGGGUCCCUUCU